GCCUAUAUAUGUAAAAUUGGAUUUGCACAUGCUUAAGCAACAAACAGGUUCUCACUACUAGAAAACACUCCUGAUAUCUUGAACUGAUAAUUAUUGUUUACAAAACUGUCAAAUGCUUAUGAAUAGCACUGGCAAAACACCACCACUCCAGCCCAUAAUACACAGCAGCAUUAUACCCUCACAGAACCAUGGGAGUUGGGGCAGAAGGGAUGUAGAUACGAGCAUCGUCACUAAGAAGAGUCAACCUUGCUGGUGGCUGCAACCCAUUAGGCAAAGGUGAAAGUAAAAUGACAACGUAGCCUAUUACCAUGAUGUCACUUGUGAUCAGAAGAUACCUGAGACACCAAAAGUGGACCCUCACCCUGCUCUGGUGCUACCUCCUCUUCCUUGAGGUCAGCUACCUGCAUGUCGAGGAGCAAGCCCAGACUGGAUAAUACAGCUAAUGAUGCCCAAAACCACCCAGAGGACAGUAC
Long non-coding RNA from Pezoporus flaviventris, 473 nucleotides. RefSeq lists it as uncharacterized. Lineage: Eukaryota; Metazoa; Chordata; Aves; Psittaciformes; Psittacidae. The record is from RefSeq and is a predicted model, not a curated record. The transcript is spliced from 2 exons.